GGAUUCAUUGGGCGUAAAGGGUGCGAAGGCGGCGCGGUAAGUCGGGUGUGAAAUCUCGGAGCUUAACUCCGAAACUGCAUUCGAUACUGCCGUGCUUGAGGACUGGAGAGGAGACUGGAAUUUACGGUGUAGCGGUGAAAUGCGUAGAUAUCGUAAGGAAGACCAGUGGCGAAGGCGGGUCUCUGGACAGUUCCUGACGCUGAGGCACGAAGGUCAGGGGAGCAAACGGGAUUAGAUACCCCGGUAGUCCUGACAGUAAACGGUGCACGUUUGGUGUGGGAGGAUUCGACCCCUUCUGCGCCGGAGCUAACGCGUUAAACGUGCCGCCUGGGGACUACGGUCGCAAGAUUAAAACUCAAAGAAAUUGACGGGGGCCCGCACAAGCGGUGGAGUAUGUGGCUCAAUUCGAUGCAACGCGAAGAACCUUACCAGGCCUUGACAUGCAUCUUUAAGUUGGUGAAAGCCAUUUAGUCCCGAAAGGGACAAUUCGCACAGGUGCUGCAUGGCUGUCGUCAGCACGUGUCGUGAGAUGUUGGGUUAAGUCCCGCAACGAGCGCAACCCCUGUGAAAUGUUGCCGCCGACCCGUGAGGCUCGAGCACUCUGCUCAGACUGCCCCGCUUUAACGGGGAGGAAGGUGGGGACGACGUCAAGUCAGUAUGGCCCUUACGGCCUGGGCUGCACACGUACUACAAUGCCCAGCACAGAACGAUCCGAGACCGCAAGGUGGAGGAAAUCU
RNAcentral lists this ribosomal RNA (737 nucleotides) under uncultured Xiphinematobacteriaceae bacterium. Its description in RNAcentral is "bacterial SSU rRNA". It matches the Rfam family "Bacterial small subunit ribosomal RNA", at positions 547 to 1274 of the family's 1533-position model. Lineage: Bacteria; Pseudomonadati; Verrucomicrobiota; Spartobacteria. The record is from RNAcentral.